UGUACGGUCCGCGGACCGGUACCGGACCCCGCCAGGGGGUCCGACCCGGCCCGUGGAAUACAUCUGCAAUAUCAAAAAAUAUUCCAAAAAAUUAUGACCUACAUUACUACUGCAUUUGUUUGAUCAGACUGCAGCUCCCACAUUGUCUGCUAGGGGCGCUCCGCCUCACUCGGAGCAGACAGCGUGACGCAGCACUUGUGGCAGACGGCGGCAAUACCGGAUCCGGGUCUGUGGCAUUUUGUCUAUUGGAAUUUUACCUGCUUUUCUGCUGCCUCUGACACGCUCAUCAGCGAGACGUCUUUGUCAACAUUUUAAAAAUGUGAUUUAGUGUCAGAGGCAGAGCCCGUAGUGAUGAGGGGAUUACUGCUGUAAGGAAGGAAGGAACAGAUGUUCAGAGGGAGCUGAUGCCACAUCUGGUCCAGCCAAUGGAAGGUCUUGAAGUUCUCUGACUGAAGAUGGCCCUCUCACUGGAUUUAAGGUUCAGAUGCUCAGGAACAAACUUCACCAAUGAGAAAACAGGGAAGCUGUAGGUUUAUUAAAUGUUGCUGUGAAGCAUGAAGACUAAUCUCUCCACAAGGAUCCAAAAUAAGUUGGACUUCUACAUGAGAGCUUUAGUUAUUCUUCAUCUACUUCCUGAAAAGUUUGGUCAAUAAAAAAGACAAAAACUGAGCUGAACUAAAGACAGACUUUGUGAUUUUUCUGCUCACAUGUGUUGUUGUAAACUUACUCUUUCAAAUAAACAGCCACCUAACCCCCUGGAAA
Molecule: long non-coding RNA, 762 nt
Organism: Acanthochromis polyacanthus (spiny chromis)
Lineage: Eukaryota; Metazoa; Chordata; Actinopteri; Pomacentridae
Exons: 2
Source: RefSeq, a predicted model, not a curated record